UCUUGAAGUCUUAGUGGCGCAGCUAACGCACUAAGUAGACCGCCUGGGGAGUACGGCCGCAAGGUUAAAACUCAAAUGAAUUGACGGGGGCCCGCACAAGCGGUGGAGCAUGUGGUUUAAUUCGACGCAACGCGAAGAACCUUACCUGGCCUUGACAUGCAGAGAACUUUCCAGAGAUGGAUUGGUGCCUUCGGGAACUCUGACACAGGUGCUGCAUGGCCGUCGUCAGCUCGUGUCGUGAGAUGUUGGGUUAAGUCCCGUAACGAGCGCAACCCCUAUCCCUAGUUGCUAGCAGUUCGGCUGAGAACUCUAGGGAGACUGCCGGUGACAAACCGGAGGAAGGUGGGGAUGACGUCAGGUCAUCAUGGCCCUUACGGCCAGGGCUACACACGUGCUACAAUGGUGCGUACAGAGGGCUGCAAACCCGCGAGGGGGAGCUAAUCUCACAAAACGCAUCGUAGUCCGGAUCGGAGUCUGCAACUCGACUCCGUGAAGUCGGAAUCGCUAGUAAUCGCGAAUCAGAAUGUCGCGGUGAAUACGUUCCCGGGCCUUGUACACACCGCCCGUCACACCAUGGGAGUGGAUUGCACCAGAAGUGGUUAGUCUAACCUUCGGGAGGACGAU
This 624-nucleotide ribosomal RNA is filed under the name uncultured bacterium. Its description in RNAcentral is "bacterial SSU rRNA". It matches the Rfam family "Bacterial small subunit ribosomal RNA", at positions 830 to 1454 of the family's 1533-position model. The record is from RNAcentral.